ACGAACGCUGGCGGCGUGCUUAACACAUGCAAGUCGAACGGAAAGGCCCUGCUUGCAGGGUACUCGAGUGGCGAACGGGUGAGUAACACGUGGGUGAUCUGCCCUGCACUUCGGGAUAAGCCUGGGAAACUGGGUCUAAUACCGGAUAGGAGCCAUUUUUAGUGUGAUGGUUGGAAAGUUUUUUCGGUGUAGGAUGAGCUCGCGGCCUAUCAGCUUGUUGGUGGGGUAAUGGCCUGCCAAGGCGGCGACGGGUAGCCGGCCUGAGAGGGUGGACGGCCACAUUGGGACUGAGAUACGGCCCAGACUCCUACGGGAGGCAGCAGUGGGGAAUAUUGCACAAUGGGCGCAAGCCUGAUGCAGCGACGCCGCGGGGGGGAUGACGGCCUUCGGGUUGUAAACUCCUUUCGCUAGGGACGAAGCUUUUUGUGACGGUACCUAGAUAAGAAGCACCGGCUAACUACGUG
This 464-nucleotide ribosomal RNA is filed under the name uncultured bacterium. Its description in RNAcentral is "partial 16S ribosomal RNA". It matches the Rfam family "Bacterial small subunit ribosomal RNA", at positions 29 to 507 of the family's 1533-position model. The record is from RNAcentral.